RNAcentral lists this ribosomal RNA (468 nucleotides) under uncultured bacterium. RNAcentral describes it as "partial 16S ribosomal RNA". It matches the Rfam family "Bacterial small subunit ribosomal RNA", at positions 28 to 507 of the family's 1533-position model. The record is from RNAcentral.
GACGAACGCUGGCGGCGUGCUUAACACAUGCAAGUCGAACGGAAAGGCCCUGCUUUUGUUGGGUGCUCGAGUGGCGAACGGGUGAGUAACACGUGAGUAACCUGCCCCUGACUUUGGGAUAACUUCAGGAAACUGGGGCUAAUACCGGGUAGGAGCUCCUGCACCAUGGUGGGGGUUGGAAAGUUUCGGCGGUUGGGGAUGGACUCGCGGGUUAUCAGCUUGUUUGUGGGGUAGGGGUAUACCAAGGCUGUGAAGGAUAGCCCACAUGAGAGGGUUGACAGCCACCAUGGGCCUGAGAUACGGCGCAGAAUCCAACGUGAGGCAGUGGGCGGGAAUCUUACACAAUAGGCCGGCGCCUGAGACAGCAGCCCUGGGUGCGGGAUGACGGCUUUCGGGUUGUGAACCGAUGUCGCCUGUGACGAGGAGUGAGUGACGGUAAUGGGUAAGGAAGCACCGGCUAACUACGUG